RNAcentral lists this ribosomal RNA (774 nucleotides) under uncultured Streptococcaceae bacterium. Its description in RNAcentral is "bacterial SSU rRNA". It matches the Rfam family "Bacterial small subunit ribosomal RNA", at positions 79 to 840 of the family's 1533-position model. The record is from RNAcentral. Lineage: Bacteria; Bacillati; Bacillota; Bacilli; Lactobacillales; Streptococcaceae.
ACACCGUAUUCUGUGAGUUGCGAACGGGUGAGUAACGCGUAGGUAACCUGCCUGGUAGCGGGGGAUAACUAUUGGAAACGAUAGCUAAUACCGCAUAAGAACAUUUACUACAUGGUAGAUGUUUAAAAGGUGCAAAAGCAUCACUACCAGAUGGACCUGCGUUGUAUUAGCUAGUUGGUGAGGUAACGGCUCACCAAGGCAACGAUACAUAGCCGACCUGAGAGGGUGAUCGGCCACACUGGGACUGAGACACGGCCCAGACUCCUACGGGAGGCAGCAGUAGGGAAUCUUCGGCAAUGGGGGGAACCCUGACCGAGCAACGCCGCGUGAGUGAAGAAGGUUUUCGGAUCGUAAAGCUCUGUUGUUAAGGAAGAACGUGUGUGAGAGUGGAAAGUUCACACAGUGACGGUACUUAACCAGAAAGGGACGGCUAACUACGUGCCAGCAGCCGCGGUAAUACGUAGGUCCCGAGCGUUGUCCGGAUUUAUUGGGCGUAAAGCGAGCGCAGGCGGUUAGAUAAGUCUGAAGUGAAAGGCAGUGGCUCAACCAUUGUAGGCUUUGGAAACUGUUUAACUUGAGUGCAGAAGGGGAGAGUGGAAUUCCAUGUGUAGCGGUGAAAUGCGUAGAUAUAUGGAGGAACACCGGUGGCGAAAGCGGCUCUCUGGUCUGUAACUGACGCUGAGGCUCGAAAGCGUGGGGAGCGAACAGGAUUAGAUAACCUGGUAGUCCACGCCGUAAACGAUGAGUGCUAGGUGUUAGGUCCUUUCCGGGACU